AUAUUUAGGAUUAAAUUGGUAUUCGUCCAAUUAGUUUUGGACUUUUUUUUUGUAAUUUUUCCAUAAAAAUCUUAUCCUUCGCUGUGUGAGUAUAAGUAAUUAUAGUAUCCAUGUGAUUAUAAAUUACAUUGCGUUUACGAAAUCAUGCCACAGUCUGGCUUAAAUGAAUAGGUUUUUGAAAGAGAGAUUUUCAUAAAUAUGAGAAAAGCAUAAGCAUUGCAUUUAUUGAGCUUCCCAUUUCACCCAAAUCCUGAUUUUGACCGUCUUAACUAAUGCAAUCUCAAUCCAAGGGCUAAAGAAACUUACCCAGUUCACUUUUUUUUUUUUUUGGUUGUUUUCUCGAGAAACAAGUUAUUGGCUACAAUAGGAAAAUUGCACUGUCUUUAGUACUUAUCAUGCCAUACAUGCAAAUAGUAUCUCAUGUCAUUUAUAUUUGGCUUUUGGUUGACCAAAAAAUGGUUUUUUUUUGGGACCCUUUCAAAAAACACAUAAGCCACUCAUCUGAUGUAAUUGGACCCUCUUGAAUAGGAAAAUGAGUAGGGUAAACAAAGGGAGAAGAUCAUUAAAGAGGGUUUUUCGCUUUUUUAGCCAAGACUUUAAAUGAUGGCCUGAAAAAAUCUGUACUAAUUAAUCUGCCUAUUUUGUCAAUGUUAAUCAUGGUUGACAAAUAACCAGGGGUACGGUAUCUAUCCUGUUAAUUGUAAAAGAAAAAUAUUUAAAUACAGCUUCAUCAUACAUUGCUUUUGUCUUUCCGGAUCCACGAGACAAGCAACGCACUUUCAGAGAUAACCAUUCCAUGGGAGAUUGCAACUGGUUGGCAGAUCGAAGUAAUCACAGAAAUUGAUAGAGAAAAAAGAAAAAUCUAGUGUUGCCUCCCAAGUCCAAGAGCAGGAGGUAUACAUGAGAAAAGAAGAUUCGGCGGUAUUUAGAGCAAGGAUCAACUAAACCCCUGAGAGAUGGAAUGCAAUAACGAUUUCAACACUAGGGGUGGUAAGAGUGCAGCCGAUGCCAAUUGUGCUCCAGCCCCUCCUCGUCCUAUCAAGAUGUCAUCUUGGACACAGUGCAGUGCUUGCCGAAUGAAGUUUGAGUACUUAAUCUGCUACAUAAACAAGCGACUUCAUUACCGCAGUCCCAGCUGCCGUAAACCCUAUGUUGCUAUCGAGAUUCCACCUGCACCAAUAGAUGGGAAUAAUUCGAAGGCUUUGUCUGAAGUACAACAAUAUCCUGAUAUGGCGAACGCAUCAGUCAGAGGGCAGAUUUCUGCCACCAAUGCAGGAGUGUUUGUGCCUGUAUUUCGGCAUCGGAAGAGGUGUCAUGAAGAGACAGCAGCUGCAGCCAGAGAGGAGUGCUUGGAGAUGAUUCAAAUGUCUAAGAAAGCUCUUAGUAGAGGAGUUGGUGCAGGAAAU
Molecule: long non-coding RNA, 1406 nt
Organism: Syzygium oleosum
Lineage: Eukaryota; Viridiplantae; Streptophyta; Magnoliopsida; Myrtales; Myrtaceae
Exons: 3
Source: RefSeq, a predicted model, not a curated record